UUAUCCCAUCACUGUUCCAAAAAAUCCAUCCCUAAAUACAAGGGCAGAUGCCUACAAAAAACACUUGAAAACCAAAGAAACCAUUGUUCCACAAAAUGACCUUGAGAGAUACUUGAGUGACCCUCCAGAAAAUGAUGAUCCAAGCUUUGACAUUCUUACUUGGUGGAAGAAAAACUGUGUUCGUUACCCUAUUUUGGCAACAAUGGUUAGAGAUGUGUUGGCCACACCAGUAUCAUCAGUUGCUUCGGAGAGCGCAUUUAGCACCGGAGGAAGGAUUUUAGACACAUAUAGGAGCUCAUUGAGUCCGGAAAUGGCGGAAGCUUUGAUUUGUACUCAGAAUUGGCUGAAACCAUCUUUCGUCGACUUCAAAGAUCUAAAUUUGAGUGAAGAGUAUGAGCUGUUGGAAAAUGUUGUGGCAGGAGUGACUUUUUUUGGGAUAUUUUGAAGUCAAAUGUGACUUGUACUACACAGCACAUGCCUACGGUUUUUGAUAAUGAAGUCGAUGUGGAACCUGGUAGUUUUGCUUGGCUCCAUGGUGUUGGCUUUGCUUGUUAAACUGGUUUACGCUUACAUAUUGGAUUAAUAUGUGAAUUGAAGCUAUCACCUAAUGGUGUGCAUUAGAGACACAUGAUGUGCAUCAAAGCACAUUGAUUGGCCACGUAGAAGAGGUGCAUCAGCUAUCAUCCAAUGCUUGUUUACAUUAUCAUUGAACUCCAUUCUGAUUGUGCAAAAAGCAGACCUUACUGCAGAGUUACACCAUGUUGAGCAUCAGCAUACUGCAGUUUUCAUAUUCAACAUUGAAGAUGACUAAUUAUUUUAAUCUUACAUUUGGAUGAUUGUACUAUAAUACACUUAAUACUUGUGACUUAGUUUAAAUACAUGUUGGUUGUGCUGUGCUAGUUUGUAAUGUGCUUUGAAUUGAUGCAAGCAUAUUACAAUAGUAUUAAUGGCCUCGACCCCAAA
Medicago truncatula (barrel medic) is the source of this 963-nucleotide long non-coding RNA. RefSeq lists it as uncharacterized. The transcript has 4 exons. NCBI's taxonomy places the organism in Eukaryota, Viridiplantae, Streptophyta, Magnoliopsida, Fabales, Fabaceae. The record is from RefSeq and is a predicted model, not a curated record.